UCUUACUCUUGGAUCUUUAUCAAAGAGAUGGAUGUACCUGGAUGGCGACUUGGUUGGUUCGUGACAAGUGACCCUUGCGGCAUGUUUAGAAACCGAAGGUUGUUGAGCGUAUUAAGAAGUACUUUGAUCUCCUUGGGGGCCCUGCACCUUCAUUCAGGCAGCCGUUCCUCGCAUCAUCGAGCAAACUGAUGAGCUUUUCUUCCAGCAAACCAUAAAUAUACUGAAGAAUAGCUCAGUAUCUGCUAUGAAUGGAUAAAGGAGAUUCCUUGCAUUAGUUGCCCCUACAAACCAGAGGG
Long non-coding RNA from Pistacia vera, 296 nucleotides. RefSeq lists it as uncharacterized. The transcript is spliced from 3 exons. Lineage: Eukaryota; Viridiplantae; Streptophyta; Magnoliopsida; Sapindales; Anacardiaceae. The record is from RefSeq and is a predicted model, not a curated record.